GUCAACGGUCAUAGCGGACGUGAAACACCCGUUCUCAUCCCGAACACGGAAGUUAAGCCGUCCAGCGAUCCGGGUGGUACUGCAUAAUAUGUGGGAAUCCCGGGACGCUGUUGACC
This 116-nucleotide ribosomal RNA is filed under the name Candidatus Altarchaeales archaeon. Lineage: Archaea; Nanobdellati; Candidatus Altarchaeota; Candidatus Altarchaeia; Candidatus Altarchaeales. The record is from RNAcentral. RNAcentral also lists the same sequence under 1 other name.